RNAcentral lists this long non-coding RNA (4102 nucleotides) under Homo sapiens (human). RNAcentral's name for it is "HSALNT0407494". The record is from RNAcentral. Lineage: Eukaryota; Metazoa; Chordata; Mammalia; Primates; Hominidae.
ACUCACCGCAAGUCCCGCUGCAGCACGUCACUGAUGAAGGUCUCGUAGCGCAGCACUUUCUCCCCCGUGGCCUCCACCGCCCGCCGCUUAGGGGGCGUCGCCAUGAUGGGCUCCUGGGGAGUGGGGAGGGGGAAGACCAUGUUGACCGAUCCAGUUUGGCCUCACACACAGUUCAUCUCUACCCUCUCAACGCUGGGAAUCGGCUUGUCCGGCUCAAGCUGGAGGUUCAGCCUUCCGCCCCUCCCAACUCGGGGACCCGACCACCCAGGGACACCCAAGCGCGGCCUUUACCUCAGGCCGCCAGCAAUAAGAACGGUUGGUAGGAACCGCGGCUUCCGGGUGGCGCGGGUGAAUGACGUUAGAUUUUCAAACAAGAACUUAUAACCCAGCAAGAAUGGGCCUUUGCCUGGAGAAGAAUCCAGACCAUGGGAUGAAUCCCCAAAUGCUAUUUCCAUCUGUAGAGCCUAGAGCACCCACCCCUACCAAGGAAGUCUUCCCAGAUAAUUUGUGUUUCAUAUGUAAAAGCAAGUUUUUUUUUUCAAAUGCUCAAAACCCAAGCAAGUUAAGCCCUUCCUUCCUUCCUUCCUUCCUUUCUUUUCUCUCUCUCUCUCUUUCUUUCUCUCUCUCUCUCUUUCUUUCUUUUUUUUCUUUUUUAGACAGGGUCUGUGUCCCCUAGGCUGGAGUGCAGUGGUAUGAUCAUGACUCAUUGCAGCCUCAACCUCCCAGGCUCAAGUGAUCCUCCCGCUUCAGCCUCUGGAGUACCUGGGACUACUGGCAUACACCACCACGCCCAUCUAAUUUUUAAAAAAGUUUUUGUAGAGACAGAGUCUCACUAUGUUGCCCAGGCUGGUCUCAAACUCCUAGGCUUAAGUGAUUUGCCCACCUCGGCCUCCCAAAAUGCCGAGAUUAUAGGCAUGAGCCAGCACACCUGGCCAAGUUAAGCUUUUCUUUGCCCUUAGAACGAGAUAAUUGUAAAAUGAAAACAUUGAGAUUAGUUUUUUUGGUCUGUAAAUCUCAUGUUACAUAUAGUUUAAAUUACAUUGAGUGUGAUUGGAAUAGAUACUAGGUAGAAAAAUAUUAUCUAGUUAAUCUAUACCACUUUCCUGUGAAAAGAGAGAAAAGAAGACACAUAUUUAUUUAACAGAGAACACAAUUCUGAUGGGCUGGAGAUGAGUCUGUGUAAGUCUAUUAACUUAUAUUUCACAAAAAAGAAUUUUUUACUUAAAAAUGUAUUUCCAACUUUAUUUUUACAUUUCAAACCUACAGAAAAGUUGACAGUGAACACUCAUAUACCCUGCACUUAAGUUCGCCAGUUGUUUUAUUUUGAAUUUUUAAAAUUUUUUUAGAGGCAGGGUCUUGCUCUCUUGCCUAGGCUAGAAUGCAGUGGUGUGAUCUCGGUUCACUGCAACCUCUGCCACCGGGCUCAAGCAAUCCUCCCGCCUAAGCCUCCUGCAUAGCUGGGACUACAGGCAUGAGCCACCAUGCCCAGCUAAUUUUUUGUAGAAAUGGGGUUUCACCAUGUUGCCCAGGCUGGUCUCGAAUGCCUGAGCUCAAUCAGUUCGCCUAACUCGGCCUCCCAGGGUGCUGGGAUUACAGGCGUGAGCCACCAUGCCCGGCCUGGAUUCACUCGUUGUUAAUAUUUGAUCACAUUUGCUUUCUUUCCAGACCAUAGGAUAAUUGUUGACAUGGCUGCAUAGCAUUCCAUUCUUUGGAUGGCCUCAGAUUUUUGAGCCACUCCUCUGUCACUGGAUAUUUGAAUGUGUUCAGAUAUUUUCGUUGUUAUAACCAGGAUGGGAUAAGUCUUUGCUGUCAAAUUUUUGUGCGGAGCCAUGAUUAUUUCCUUGUGAUAAAUUCCUAGAAGUAGAAUUUAUAGAUUUUUUUUGAGACAGAGUCUCACUUUGUUGCCAAGGCUGGAGUGUAGUGGUGUGAUCUCUGCUCAUGGCAACCUCUGCCUCCUGGUUUCAAGUGAUUCUUCUGCUUCAGCCUCUGGAGUAGCUAGGACUACGGGCACACACUACCAUGCCGCCUAGCUAAUUUUUGUAUUUUUAAUAGACACAGGGUUUCACCAUGUUGGCCAGGCUGGUCUCGAACUUGUGGCCUCAAGUGAUCUGCCCACCUCGGCCUCCCAGGGCGCUGGGAUUACAGGCAUGAGCCACCUCACCCGGCUGAAUUUAUGGAUUUAAAGGAGGUCACUGCAUUGUAAAUCAAGUGUUGAGUGACAGUGGUACGCAUAACAGUGAACCUCCUCAUCUAAGCUCUAUAUCAGGGGUCAGCAAAUUAUGGCCCCUGGUUUGCUGACCCUUUACAGUUUCCUAUAGCCUGCAAACUAGGAAUACUAUUUACAUCUUUAAAGGGCUUUAGAAAAGUAAAACUAAUAUUUUGUGACACAUCAAAAUUAUAUGAAAUUUGCAUUUUAGUGUCCAUUAAUAAAAUUUUCUUGGAACACAAGUCUCACUCAUGCGUUUACAUAUUGUCUGUUACUGCUUUCACGCUAUAAUGGCAGAGUUGAGUAGUUGCCAAAGAGACCACAUGGUAUGGACAUCCUAAAGUAUUUACUAUCUGGCCUUUUACAGAAAAGGUUUGCCAACCCCUGCUCUGUACAAUGCCUGUCACCAAUACAGAGGUUGGGGCUCUAACCAGGUGGGUCUCCCUGGCUUCCACUGGCGACCUCUUAACCUGGCUUAUGGGUGCACAUUUUCAGGCUGGUGCUUCUGGGAGAUAUGAGAGACACAGUCAGCUUGUUUCCAGCUCCAAGAUGUGAGAUGGACUGUGUCUCUUAUGUCUGCAUUUGAAUCUUCUCUCCUUUCCAUCCAACUUCCUGCCCCCAGCUCUGACUCAUAGGUCUCUGUCUUUGCCUUUUCCCAAGAAGAGCAAGAAAUGACUAAGGCCCAGGGGAGGCUGCAUUUCCCUGAUAGCUAAUGAUGUAGAACAUCUUGCCAUGUGCUUAUUUGUCAUCUACAUGUCCUUUAUGGUGAAAUGUCUCUUCACAUUCUUUGCUCAUUUACCAAAUGGAUUGCUUAAAAAAAAAAAAAACUUGAGUUUUGAGAGUUCCUUACAUAUUCUAGGUAUGAGUUCUUUGUCAGAUAUGUGGUUUGCAAAUAUUUCCUCCCAGGCUGUAGUUUGUCUUUUUGUCCUCUUAACAAGGUCUUUGUUAGAGCAAACACAUUUAAUUUUGAAGUCUAGUUUAUUGAUUUAAAAACAUUUUUUGGAUCAUGCUUUUGUUGUUGUGUCUAAGAACUCUUCACAAGCCGUAGCUCCCAAAGACGUUCUCCUGUGUUUUAUUUUUAAAGUUUUUUAAUUUUAUGUUUGACAUUUAAAUCUGUGAUCUGUUUUUAAAAAACAGCUUUAUUGAGAUGUAAUUCACAUACAAUAAAACCCACACAUUUGAAGUUUACAGUUCAGCAGUUUUUAAUAUAUUCACAGAGUUGUACAAACAUCACCACAAUCUAACUUUAUUUUUUUAAUAAUUUUUUUUUUUUUGAGACAGGGUCUCACGCUGUCACCCAGGCUGGAGUGCAGUGGUAGGAUCUUGGCUCACUACAGCCUCAACCUCUCAAACGCAAGCGAUCCUCCCUGCCUCACCCCCUCAAGUAGCUGAGACUAUAGGCAUGUGCCACCACGCCGGCUAAGUUUUGUAUUUUUUGUAGAGAUGGGGUUCCACUGUGUUACCCAGGCAGGUCUUGAACUCCUGAGCUCAUUCGAUCCACCCACCUCGGCCUCCCGAAGUACUGGGAUUACAGGCGUGAGGCACCACGCCCAGCAAUCUAGAGUAUUUUCAUCACCCCAAAUAGAACUCCUGUACCCACUCCUCAGUGUGUUCUCCCCACCCCAGCCCUAAGCAACCACAAAUUUAAUUUCAUCUGUAAAAAUUUUUGUAUUCUGCACAUUUCAAUAAAUAGAAUCAUAUACACUAUGUGGCCUUUUAUGCCUGGCUUCUUUCACUUAGUAUAAUGUUUUUAAGUUUCAUUUGUCCAUGUUAUAAUACUUAUUAGUACUUUAUUCCUUUCUAGGGCUGAAUAAUAGUCCCUUGUGCAUAUAUGCCACAUUUUGUUUAUUUCUCUUACCAAUUUCAGUAAAAUGUAAAGUCCUUACUCCUUUUAAG